UACAGAGGAGCCAAGCGUUGUCCGGAUUGACUGGGCGUAAAGCGCACGCAGGCGGCAUCGCGCGUGGGGUGUGAAAUCUGGCCGCUUAACGGCCAGGCGCCAUCCCAUACGGCGAGGCUGGAGCGAUGCAGAGGUCGGUGGAAUUGCCGGUGUAGUGGUGAAAUGCGUAGAGAUCGGCAGGAACACCCAGGGGGAAACCGAGCC
RNAcentral lists this ribosomal RNA (204 nucleotides) under uncultured bacterium. Its description in RNAcentral is "partial 16S ribosomal RNA". It matches the Rfam family "Bacterial small subunit ribosomal RNA", at positions 524 to 726 of the family's 1533-position model. The record is from RNAcentral.